UAGGGAUGUAGUUAAUAAUAACAUUUGAUUUGCAUUCAAAAGGUACUACCAAAAAGUAGUCUUCCUUAC
RNAcentral lists this transfer RNA (69 nucleotides) under Triops cancriformis. Its description in RNAcentral is "tRNA-Ala". It matches the Rfam family "tRNA". Rfam says of the family: Transfer RNA (tRNA) molecules are approximately 80 nucleotides in length. Their secondary structure includes four short double-helical elements and three loops (D, anti-codon, and T loops). Lineage: Eukaryota; Metazoa; Arthropoda; Branchiopoda; Notostraca; Triopsidae. The record is from RNAcentral.